This 634-nucleotide small RNA is filed under the name Histoplasma capsulatum var. duboisii H88. RNAcentral describes it as "Histoplasma capsulatum H88 hypothetical RNA". The record is from RNAcentral. Lineage: Eukaryota; Fungi; Ascomycota; Eurotiomycetes; Onygenales; Ajellomycetaceae.
CUGAUCGUGUGAUAUUGUACUCUUUAUAAUUGUUGGGUUAUUGACAAUCAUGACCGGUGGCGUCUACUAUUAGUUCUAAAUAUCAAUAUAGAGAUGCAAAUAUUGUCUAGAUAUAUAGAAAGCAGCUCAGCUCUUCUCUAACUUAAUCCUUGACCCUUGACUGCUAAAGCAGUUAAAAUAAGUCUAUUUUCACUCAUUUCUUUCUUCCUCUGUUAUGAAUGUAUGAUAAUUUAAUUGGUAGCUUUGGAAGCGAGCAGGAUAACGAGGAUGUGGUGUGAACGAGAAAGUGGUGAACUAUCUAUGUUAUGAGUUAGUUACGAAGGGUCGGGCAUACACCAUUAAUAAUUCAAGAUAUAGUGACACCAUUGAAGGUAAGAUCAAAUUCGCUUCUUGUUUACGCACAAUUCCUUGGUUGAAGUGCAGCUCUCAUGGCAGGAUUCGCUUCAGUGAAGCCGAAUUGGAAAGACGACGUAUCGUUUCCCAGAGCCUUAUGCAAAAUACCAGUAGAAAAUGGCUGUCCUGGUUGAGAAGUUGCCAGAAAGUCCACAGCUUGUUAUUGUUCCGCCGUGAGGAGGAGGGGAAUUUAAGUUCGGAAUGAGCUUAGUCCGCAUCUUCUAAAAAAAAAAGAAGGGGG